Molecule: ribosomal RNA, 229 nt
Filed under: uncultured bacterium
Lineage: Bacteria
Description: partial 16S ribosomal RNA
Rfam family: Bacterial small subunit ribosomal RNA
Source: RNAcentral
UGCGCAGGCGGACCUAUCAGUCAGUGAUGAAAUCUCUCGGCUCAACCGGGAAACUGCCAUUGAUACUGUAGGUCUUGAGUUUGGUUGAAGUGGGCGGAAUGUAGCAUGUAGCGGUGAAAUGCAUAGAUAUGCUACAGAACACCGAUCGCGAAGGCAGCUCACUAAACCAAAACUGACGCUCAGGCACGAAAGCGUGGGUAGCGAACAGGAUUAGAUACCCUGGUAGUCC